UUUUUCAAGACAGGGUUUCUCUGUAUAGCCCUGGCUAUCCUGGAACUCACUUUGUAGACCUCAAACUCAGAAAUCCACCUGCCUCUGUUUCCCGAGUCCUGAGAUUAAAGGCAUGCGCCACCACACCCAGCUGGUAAACUUUUUCUUAUAUUAACACUAAUGAAAUAAUGAAGGUGAACUUGAGGUACAAUCUUAUCUGUGGCUGUGUGGUCCACAGGUUUGUUUUUGGUUUUAUGUUUUUAAUGUUGCCUUCUAGGGUAUCAGCAGCAUGUUGAAUAAAUAAAACAUGGCUACAUACAAGCACUGGCUUUAAAUGGCAAUGAGAAGAAUUCUUAUUGCUGUUCAGAAAUUAACAAAAAAGGUUUGAAUAAGCUUGAGCACACAUAGGUGAGGAAAAUCUGACAUUUCCUUCCCAUAUGCCUUGUCUGUUUCACAGGGAAUACAAAUUAAAAAUCAUUCCACAGAUUCAGGCUAAGGUUAAUAAAAUUCUAACUACAAAGUUAUGUACGUAAGAUACCAGUUAUUAUUACUGUGACCACAUUUAAACUACAUUGGAUGGAAUAAUUUUCAAAUUAAGAAAUAUGUCCUGGUAGAAAAGUCUAUAGACAGUAACAUUAUUGUGAGAUUCGUUUGGCACAAACUGACACUGAAUCUCAAGAUGUGGUUUUGUUAAGUCCCCUGUGGAGUUGGGAACUUUCCUGGCUCCCACUGUGUUUCAUGGGUGUGACUUUGAAGAAUAUUGCUUACUGGGUGGAUGAAGGGCACCAUGCUCAUUUUUGCCUUUACCACUGUAGUUGAAGGGAGAGUUGCAAAUGACACAUGACAUGGCUGCCCUCCCAAGUGUUAAAUCUCCUCCCAAGUACAGACAGGACAGUAUUAUCUCUUAAGUCUAAGCAGUAAGGCAUACUCAUUUCUGUGCAGCUCUUUAAGGCAUAAAUUCAUAGUUAAGAUAAUGUACCUAAGCUGAGAUGGUGGGAAGAAGCUCACAGUAUGGCUAAGCAUUGGGGUAAUUUUUCAGGGAGAUCUGAGGAAGGGGAACUGUUUUUAGAACAUGAAAACUGUCUUAAGUGGGAAAUGUUAGAAAAUAAUUGUUCAGUAAAGGAAAACCAUAUAAUGAGAUAUAGUUGAGAUUAGUGUCAUCAUUUGAAUGACCCUCUGCUGCCAUUUGGAAGUGAUUAAACAACCCUUUACUAGAAUUGAUAUUACUUUAGAAAGGAUGAAGUAGUUACUAGACAAAGCUAUUCCUUAUCUAAAAUGUGUUAUGCACACAACUUUGAGGUUUCUCUUUGAUUUGUUAAUAAUGUCUUGGCUUCUAAGCAUUCUAACUUAAAGACAGUUUACAAGUUAUAAUAUGAUAUAUUUUUCUAGCCUUGUAAUUUAGUAAUGUGCUAUUUAUGAUGUGUUGUUUCUGUAUUUUUGUCAACUGGUGUUCCCCGGUUUAAAACCUCUCAGAAGAAUCAAACUUUCGAGGUGACAGGUACAUUUACUAUUGCAGGGUAGAAGAAUCUUUUCUUACUUUUAAAUCAAUGUUAAAAUAAGCUCACUAUAGUAGAAUCACAUAUAUAUAUAUAUAUAUACAUAUAUAUAUAUAUGGCAAAAUAGGAACAUGGAAAAUACUGGUCCUGAGUUGUGAAUUAUGCACAGCUUUUAAAGAUGUGUUCAUACACUGCCUAUUCAUUUCUUAGGGUGUCACAAAAUCACAACAUUUAUCAAAGACCAGGAAUGAUUGAUUAUUCCAGCAAAAGCUAAUUUGUUCUAUAUAGCAGUGGAUAUGGCAAAUAUUUUAAAGGCCACAAUAUGACCAAUUUUAACUGUACAGAACAUGUACAAUUUUGUUAACAUGUAGGAAGCCAAAAUGCAGAGGCAGAAAUAAAGUCACAUAAGGGAGUCUUUCUUUUAUUGUGUUCUAAAAUGUAGGGUAACACAUUGAGGAUAUGGUUUGGGUAUUGGUUUUUGUUUUUCUGAGCUUUUUUAUUUUUAGAAAUAAACUCAAAAGGUAUUUGUUGAAAUAUACUUGAAGAUGCCUAGGUUUGAAAGUUUUGAACAGAUAGAAAUAAUUAAUAGUUUUCCUUCCUUCCUUUGUUCAUUCAUUCAUCCAAAGGCAAGUGUACUUGUUGCCCUAAUGUGCUAUACUCUGGCUAUAUCUUUGCUUCGAUGCCUGAUGAAUCCUAAAUAUUUUUUUCAUUGCCUAACAAGUGGCAAUAUGGCAAUCUUUAAUAAAUGUGAUCAACAUUCAUCAGUUAUAUAAGGCCUGGGAAAAUAAAACUUU
This 2269-nucleotide long non-coding RNA is filed under the name Mus musculus (house mouse). RNAcentral's name for it is "long non-coding RNA chr18:20409904-20412173". Lineage: Eukaryota; Metazoa; Chordata; Mammalia; Rodentia; Muridae. The record is from RNAcentral.